AGAAAGGAAGCAGUAGAGGCUACCGAAUGAUGGAAAAAUGAAGGAAGUUGGGAACUGACAUUUCUCUUUGUCUUUGUAUUUGUUUUUUUCGCUAUUUUUCCCUUUGG
RNAcentral lists this non-coding RNA (107 nucleotides) under uncultured Chlorophyceae. The record is from RNAcentral. Lineage: Eukaryota; Viridiplantae; Chlorophyta; Chlorophyceae.